GAUUAACGCUGGCGGCGUGCCUAACACAUGCAAGUCGAACGAGGUAGUAAUACCUAGUGGCAGACGGGUGAGUAACGCGUGGUCAACCUACCGUUGAGUGGGGGAUAACUAGCCGAAAGGUUAGCUAAUACCGCAUACGUCUCCGAGUGGCAUCACUUGGCGAUAAAAGGAGCAAUCCGCUCGAUGACGGGACCGCGUCCCAUUAGCUAGAUGGUGGGGUAACGGCCUACCAUGGCACCGAUGGGUAGCUGGUUUGAGAGAGCGACCAGCCACACUGGGACUGAGAAACGGCCCAGACUCCUACGGGAGGCAGCAGUGAGGAAUUUUCCGCAAUGGGCGCAAGCCUGACGGAGCGACGCCGCGUGUGGGAAGAAGGCCUUCGGUC
Molecule: ribosomal RNA, 385 nt
Filed under: uncultured bacterium
Lineage: Bacteria
Description: bacterial SSU rRNA
Rfam family: Bacterial small subunit ribosomal RNA
Source: RNAcentral